RNAcentral lists this ribosomal RNA (708 nucleotides) under uncultured eukaryote. RNAcentral describes it as "SSU rRNA". It matches the Rfam family "Eukaryotic small subunit ribosomal RNA", at positions 591 to 1321 of the family's 1831-position model. The record is from RNAcentral.
CUCAUAGCGUAUAUUAAAGUUGUUGCAGUUAAAAAGCUCGUAGUUGAACUUCUGGCUAUUCUUCCAGCUGGCUUCGGUCGCUGUAAGAGUGGUCAUCCGCUUGGGAACUACGUUCGAACUUCACUGUUCGGCGUAAGGAACAGGCAUUUUACUUAGAAAAAAUUAGAGUGUUCAAGGCAGGCUGUCGCCCUGAAUACACAAGCUUGGAAUAAUGAAAUAGGACUACUUCCAUUUUAUUGGUUAUUGGAAUUAGUAAUGAUUAAUAGGGACAGUUGGGGACAUUAGUAUUUAAUUGUCAGAGGUGAAAUUCUUGGAUUUAUUAAAGACUAACUUAUGCGAAAGCAUUUGUCAAGGAUGUUUUCAUUAAUCAAGAACGAAAGUUAGGGGAUCAAAGACGAUCAGAUACCGUCCUAGUCUUAACUAUAAACUAUACCGACUAGGGAUUGGCCGGGUCUCUUUAACCGGGUCAGCACCUUAUGAGAAAUCAAAGUCUAUGGGUUCUGGGGGGAGUAUGGUCGCAAGGCUGAAACUUAAAGGAAUUGACGGAAGGGCACCACCAGGAGUGGAGCCUGCGGCUUAAUUUGACUCAACACGGGGAAACUUACCAGGUCAAGACAUAAGUGGGAUUGACAGAUUGAGAGCUCUUUCUUGAUUCUAUGGGUGGUGGUGCAUGGCCGUUCUUAGUUGGUGGAGUGAUUUGUCUGGUUA